This 479-nucleotide ribosomal RNA is filed under the name uncultured bacterium. RNAcentral describes it as "bacterial SSU rRNA". It matches the Rfam family "Bacterial small subunit ribosomal RNA", at positions 28 to 524 of the family's 1533-position model. The record is from RNAcentral.
GACGAACGCUGGCGGCGCGCUUAAUACAUGCAAGUCGAACGAGAAGCCAGAGCUUGCUCUGGUGGAAAGUGGCGAACGGGUGAGUAACACGUGAGAAACCUGCCCCAAAGAUUGGGAUAAGCCUUGGAAACGAGGUCUAAUACCAAAUACCUUCCUUUAACACAUGUUAAAAAGAAGAAAUGCUCCGGCGCUUUGGGAUGGUCUCGCGAUCUAUCAGCUUGUUGGUGAGGUAACGGCUCACCAAGGCAUCGACGGAUAGCUGGUCUGAGAGGAUGUCCAGCCACAUUGGAACUGAGACACGGUCCAAACUCCUACGGGAGGCAGCAGUAGGGAAUCUUGCACAAUGAGGGAAACCUUGAUGCAGCGACGCCGCGUGCGGGACGAAGGCCCUAGGGUUGUAAACCGCUUUCAGUAGGGACGAAAGUGACGGUACCUACAGAAGAAGCCCCGGCCAACUAUGUGCCAGCAGCCGCGGUAAU